RNAcentral lists this ribosomal RNA (1938 nucleotides) under metagenome. Its description in RNAcentral is "bacterial LSU rRNA". It matches the Rfam family "Bacterial large subunit ribosomal RNA", at positions 1 to 1974 of the family's 2925-position model. The record is from RNAcentral.
CAAAUUUAUCUAAGGGCAGAUGGUGGAUGCCUAGACCAGAAGAGGCGAUGAAGGACGUACUAGGCUGCGAUAAGCCAGGGGGAGCUGCCAAGAAGCUUUGAUCCCUGGAUUUCCGAAUGGGGCAACCCAACAUGUAGCGAUGCAUGUUACUCUUUCGAGAGAGCGAACGUAGGGAAGUGAAACAUCUCAGUACCUACAGGAAAAGAAAUCAACCGAGAUUCCCAAAGUAGCGGCGAGCGAAAUGGGAGUAGCCCUAAAAUCUAUUAGGUGUUAGUAGAAAAAGCUGGAAUGCUUUACCGAAGAGGGUGAAAGUCCCGUAUACGAAAACUAAUUUUAGACUAUUCGAGUAGGUCGGGACACGUGAAACCCUGACUGAAUAUGGGAGGACCACCUUCCAAGGCUAAAUACUACUUCAGGAUCGAUAGUGAACCAGUACCGUGAGGGAAAGGUGAAAAGAACCGCGGCAAGCGGAGUGAAAUAGAACCUGAAACCAUCUGCCUACAAUCAUUCAGAGCCCUAUGUCUUCGGACAGGGUGAUGGACUGCCUUUUGCAUAAUGAGCCUGCGAGUUAUGGUGACUAGCAAGGUUAAUCAAACGAGAAGCCGUAGCGAAAGCGAGUCUUAAUAGGGCGAUAGUUAGUUGCUGUAGACCCGAAACUAAGUGAUCUAUCCAUGGGCAGGUUGAAGCUGGUGUAAGAGCUAGUGGAGGACCGAACGGGUGAAGGUUUAAAACUUCUCCGAUGACCUGUGGAUAGGGGUGAAAGGCCAAUCAAACUUAGUGAUAGCUGGUUCUCUCCGAAAUAUAUUUAGGUAUAGCGUCUAGUUGUAGCUAUAGGGGGUAGAGCACUGAUUGGGCUAGGGCUACUUACCGUGGUACCAAACCCAGUCAAACUCCGAAUACCUAUAGUGUAAUCUAGGCAGUCAGGCGUAGGGUGAUAAAAUCCUAUGUCAAGAGGGAAACAGCCCAGACUACCAGCUAAGGUCCCAAAGUUUUAUCUAAGUGGAAAAGGAUGUGGGGUUGCUUAGACAAUCAGGAGGUUGGCUUAGAAGCAGCCAUCCUUUAAAGAAAGCGUAACAGCUCACUGAUCUAGCGACCUUGCGCCGAAAAUAUAACGGGGCUAAGAUAAACACCGAAGCUGUAGAUUUGAUAUUUAUAUCAAGUGGUAGGAGAGCGUUCUAGUCAGCGUAGAAGAUGUACCGGUGAGGAGCGUUGGAGCGGCUAGAAGUGAGCAUGCAGGCAUGAGUAACGAUAAAAGAGGUGAGAAUCCUCUUCGCCGAAAAUCUAAGGUUUCCUACGCGAUGCUCGUCAUCGUAGGGUUAGUCGGGACCUAAGUUAAGUCCGAAAGGGGUAGACGAUGGAAAAUAGGUUAAUAUUCCUAUACCGACAUUACAUCAUUUGAGUGAUGGGGGGACGCAUAGAGUUAGACGAGGUCACUGAUGGAAUAGUGGCUCGAAGGAAGUAGGUUGAGAAGUAGGAAAAUCCGCUUCUCAUGAAACCGAGAUCUUACAGGCUGAACAAUCUCUUCGGAGAGCGUUUAGAAUCGUCGAUACUGUCGUGCCGAGAAAAGCCUCUAAACGAGAUGUAAUGUUGCCCGUACCGUAAACCGACACAGGUGGGUGAGAUGAGUAUUCUAAGGCGCGUGGAAGAACCCUGGUUAAGGAACUCUGCAAACUAGCACCGUAUCUUCGGUAUAAGGUGUGCCCUAUUUGUUAGGAGAUUUACUCUCCAAAGCAAUGACGGGUCGCAGCAAAGUGUCCCUCCCGACUGUUUACCAAAAACACAGCACUCUGCUAACUCGUAAGAGGAUGUAUAGGGUGUGACGCCUGCCCGGUGCUUGAAUGUUAAAAGGAUUGCUUAGCUUUGCGAAGGCAUGAAUUGAAGCACAAGUAAACGGCGGCCGUAACUAUAACGGUCCUAAGGUAGCGAAAUUCCUUGUCG